Molecule: unclassified non-coding RNA, 348 nt
Filed under: soil metagenome
Description: partial contains 5.8S ribosomal RNA, internal transcribed spacer 2, and large subunit ribosomal RNA
Rfam family: 5.8S ribosomal RNA (bases 1-120)
Source: RNAcentral
GAUGAAGAACGCAGCGAAAUGCGAUAAGUAAUGUGAAUUGCAGAAUUCAGUGAAUCAUCGAAUCUUUGAACGCACAUUGCGCCCGCCAGUAUUCUGGCGGGCAUGCCUGUCUGAGCGUCAUUUCAACCCUCAUGCCCCUAGGGCGUGGUGUUGGGGAUCGGCCAAAGCCCGCGAGGGACGGCCGGCCCCUAAAUCUAGUGGCGGACCCGACGUGGCCUCCUCUGCGAAGUAGUGAUAUUCCGCAUCGGAGAGCGAUGAGCCCCUGCCGUUAAACCCCCAACUUUCCAAGGUUGACCUCAGAUCAGGUAGGAAUACCCGCUGAACUUAAGCAUAUCAAUAAGCGGAGGA